UGGCUUAAUUUGACUCAACGCGGGAAAUCUCACCAGCCCCACACAUAAAGAGGAUUGACAGUUUGAUAGUUCUUUCUUGAUUCUAUGGUUGGUGGUGCAUGGCCGUUCUUAGUUGGUGGAGUGAUCUGUCUGGUUAAUUCCGUUAACGAACGAGAUCUUAUCCUGCUAAUUAGACAAUUGUACGAUUCUCUUCUUAGAGGGACUCUUAAUCAUCCAGAUUAAGGAAGUUU
This 230-nucleotide ribosomal RNA is filed under the name uncultured eukaryote. Its description in RNAcentral is "partial 18S ribosomal RNA". It matches the Rfam family "Eukaryotic small subunit ribosomal RNA", at positions 1187 to 1446 of the family's 1831-position model. The record is from RNAcentral.